Molecule: non-coding RNA, 273 nt
Filed under: Roseburia sp.
Lineage: Bacteria; Bacillati; Bacillota; Clostridia; Lachnospirales; Lachnospiraceae
Description: T-box sequence
Rfam family: T-box leader
About the family: Uncharged tRNA acts as the effector for transcription antitermination of genes in the T-box leader family. T-boxes are found upstream of many aminoacyl-tRNA synthetase genes and some amino acid biosynthetic genes usually in Gram-positive bacteria.
Source: RNAcentral
GAAACAGCUUUGACGGGAAAAAGUAGCAAUAAGUGAAACAGACAGAAAGCAACCGGCUGAUGAGAGGUGCAUGGGAAACUUAUCGUGAAUACAUCCCUGAGCUUUGUACCGAACAUUCUUUUACAUUUGUAGUUAGAUGUAUGGAGUAAGUAGGCUGCAACGGAGUGGCGCACGUUAUGAGCGCUGGAGUGUUGACAGACACUCAAUGAGGCAGAUUGUGUGAAUGGUCUGCGAAUAAAGGUGGUAACACGAGUUUAUACCCUCGUCCUUUUC